CAUAAUUCAAAAUAUGAUUAAGUUCUACAUAUUUUAAGUUCUACAUAUUUUGCAACCAGUAACACAACUUACAACCAAACAUCAUUGUGAGGUCCACGUUAUCACACACUUCUCCAUAUACUAUUAAUUCUGAUUUCCUCAAAUCAACCCAAAAUCUACUCUGAAUUAUUCAUAUAUCCUGAAGAAGCAGUUGAUCUCUCUG
RNAcentral lists this long non-coding RNA (202 nucleotides) under Capsicum annuum. RNAcentral's name for it is "long non-coding RNA (CANN_LNC001167)". The record is from RNAcentral. Lineage: Eukaryota; Viridiplantae; Streptophyta; Magnoliopsida; Solanales; Solanaceae.